CCCACCCCCAUCUCUGCCAUGCCCUUGGGUUUCUGAAGCUUUUUCCGGGCCUUCGAGGCGUAGGUCUUCCUCUUACCUCCUUCAUGAAGGAGGCUUCCGCUGAGAUGAUCAAUCUCUCCCUUUUCUGAACUGCUGCUGCCUUUAUAGUCACUUUGGCAUAUUUUUUCAAGCUCCAUUGCUCACUAAUUGUUUCCCGUCUGUUGGCUUUGUGUCCCCAGCUAGGCUGUGAGUUCUUUGAGAGCAGAGUGUCUUACACAGCUCUAGCAUCUCCCGCAAUGCUGGGCUCAUUGUGGCUGUUCAAUUCUUCCGUAUUGGUAAAGCAAUUGGUCCCUUCAUUGAUUGGCUCAGAUCUUAAUACCGAUUGCUGGAAAUGGUCCUCGGGGCAAUGAGGAGGCGCUAAACGUCAUGAUCACGAUAGCCUUUGUAGUAGGAGAUACCACCCAUGCAGAGGAGACCAUGGGCGCUUGGCUUCUCUCUAGACCCAUCCUACCCUUCCCCACCCUACUUGCAUUGGGCCUUCCACACAAGUGACUCCCAGUUAUGUCAAGGUGUACCACUCUGCAGUCCCCAUAGGCCCAAAAACCUCUCUCCCUCGGAAGGUGCACAUAACAUGCAUCCUGCUUUCCUGGCUCCUCGUGAGAAAUGGAGCACCCAGAGAGAAUCGAAUGAGCUUCACCCAGACCCCACGUCCAGUCAUAUUUCCAGAGAUAAUUUGACAUGAGUCUGACUCAAUCAGUCUUUAUUUCCAUCAAAAAGACAUGAAACAGGCUGUGGAUCCCAUCAGGGGAGAAUAGUGAAGUCACAUCUAAUAGAGCCAAAGAAAACAUUUAACUAGGUUUGCUACUGAACUUUGGAAGGAAAAAAAGAAAAAGAGAGUACCAGGGACAUGUGUUUAUCACCGACAAUCCAACCUUGAGACUCAAAUUGAUUUAGACUGCCAGCUGAGGAUGAACUGGCCUUUCAAAAGGAGGAGGAGAUGUGACAAUUGGAGACACAAAAUUUAGCUAGAUUCUUUCCCUGUCUUCUUCAUCACAACCUUCUCAUUAGCCCAGAUACCCCUUGAGGCCUUGAGGCUUAUGGAUGGCUCCCGAUUACAAGGUAGCAGGCCCUAAAGACAUUUACCUGGACUCUGCUUGGCCCAGCCUCAGAAACCUCACAUCCUGACCCUGGGGCUGUGGUUGUAAACCAGGAUCCUUCUCCCUACCAGAAUACCUGUGAUGCCUCCCGGCCCUCUCUGAUCCUGGUGGGCCCACCUCACUCUGCAUCCCCCGUGAGGGAGGCUCACAUGUCAUUCAUUAGGUGGUGCAGGAUGAGUGAGAGCUUCCAUGGGCAGGCGCUGGAGACUCAGUGGUGGAUAGGCCGGCGCCUGCCCUUUUCGAAUUCCCCGGUUAGUGGAGGCGACACAUGGGAAAACCCAAGACAAGGUAGUAUACCCUGCAAGCCACUAAUGAACAUGGUGCUUUGUGCUCUGAGAAGCAAAAAUGACUGAUGUUCCCUCGAGGAAGGGGAAGGCCUCAUCAAUGACAUCAUCAUCAUGAUCUUGAAAGCUUAAGCCAAUGUGAUUCGGAUUCUGCUACUUGCAUCCAAAGGACUCCUGAUCCACACAAGGUCACACAGCUAAUGAGAGAAUGCUGCUUACAACGGUGGCAUCGGGCGAGGACUAGAGUCCAGCUCUGCAUUCACACAUCACACAGAGAACCACAAACAGGCGUAUUGAAAACACCUUUAUCCGGAGCCUCUUCCGA
Molecule: long non-coding RNA, 1745 nt
Organism: Canis lupus familiaris (dog)
Lineage: Eukaryota; Metazoa; Chordata; Mammalia; Carnivora; Canidae
Exons: 3
Source: RefSeq, a predicted model, not a curated record